This 402-nucleotide ribosomal RNA is filed under the name uncultured bacterium. RNAcentral describes it as "partial 16S ribosomal RNA". It matches the Rfam family "Bacterial small subunit ribosomal RNA", at positions 28 to 526 of the family's 1533-position model. The record is from RNAcentral.
GACGAACGCUGGCGGCGUGCCUAAUACAUGCAAGUCGAACGCAGUGGGGACGGGUGAGUAACACGUGGGUAACCUCCCAUCAGAGGGUUAACACUUGGAAACAGGAGCUAACCCGAUACUGGUGGAUGAACGCGCGGUGCAUGAGCAAGUUGGUGGGGAAACGGCUCACCAAGGCAAGGAUGCAUAGCUGGUUUGAGAGGGUGACCAGCCACACUGGGACGGAGAAACGGCCCAGACUCCUACGGUAGGCAGCAGUAGGGAAUCUUCGGCAAUGGACGAAAGUCUGACCCAGCAACGCCGCGUGAGUGAAGAAGGUUUUCGGAUCGUAAAGCUCUGUUGUUAGAGAAGCGGUAUCUAACCAGAAAGCCACGGCUAACUACGUGCCAGCAGCCGCGGUAAUAC